UGGAAUGCCUUCGGACGCGGGUUCGAUUCCCGCCGCCUCCACCA
This 44-nucleotide transfer-messenger RNA is filed under the name Candidatus Saccharicenans sp. RNAcentral's name for it is "partial transfer-messenger RNA". It matches the Rfam family "transfer-messenger RNA", at positions 330 to 374 of the family's 374-position model. Rfam says of the family: Bacterial tmRNA, also known as 10Sa RNA or SsrA, is named for its dual tRNA and mRNA-like properties. Its role is to liberate the mRNA from a stalled ribosome. Lineage: Bacteria; Candidatus Aminicenantota; Candidatus Aminicenantia; Candidatus Aminicenantales; Candidatus Saccharicenantaceae. The record is from RNAcentral.